AUACGUAGGGGGCGAGCGUUGUCCGGAAUUAUUGGGCGUAAAGGGCGCGUAGGCGGCUUUGCAAGUCAGUAGUGGAAGUCCAUUUUUCAAGGAUGGAAGUGCUACAGAAACUGCGGAGCUUGAGUGCAGGAGAGGUUAUCGGAAUUCCCGGUGUAGCGGUGAAAUGCGUAGAGAUCGGGAGGAACACCAGUGGCGAAGGCGGGUAACUGGACUGCAACUGACGCUGUGGCGCGAAAGUGUGGGGAGCAAACUGGAGUAGAUACCCUGGUAGUCCACACUGUAAACGAUGAAUGCUAGGUGUAGGAGGUAUCGACCCCUGCUGUGCCGCAGUAAACACAGUAAGCAUUCCGCCUGGGGAGUACGGUCGCAAGAUUAAAACUCAAAUGAAUUGACGGGU
This 397-nucleotide ribosomal RNA is filed under the name uncultured bacterium. RNAcentral describes it as "partial 16S ribosomal RNA". It matches the Rfam family "Bacterial small subunit ribosomal RNA", at positions 523 to 918 of the family's 1533-position model. The record is from RNAcentral.